UCUUCCCUUUCUCCCCAUGGCCCCAGGCCUCACCACUGUGUCAGAGCCUUUUUCCUUGCAUUUUUAUUUGGCAAUGGCCUUUGACACAGUCUUGUACAUACCUUGUAACUAGAUGGCAUGAACAACCGUCGCCACACCAUUUUUUCUUGUUUUGGGUGGAUUUUGGGAUGUUUUCAUCAUGUCGGAGCUUCCGAAGGUGAGCCAUGAAAACGCAAUGCUGCUCGAUCAU
Molecule: long non-coding RNA, 229 nt
Filed under: Elaeis guineensis (African oil palm)
Lineage: Eukaryota; Viridiplantae; Streptophyta; Magnoliopsida; Arecales; Arecaceae
Description: long non-coding RNA (EGUI_LNC057183)
Source: RNAcentral